Molecule: non-coding RNA, 1007 nt
Filed under: Puncturella cf. parvinobilis
Lineage: Eukaryota; Metazoa; Mollusca; Gastropoda; Lepetellida; Fissurellidae
Description: small subunit ribosomal RNA
Rfam family: Bacterial small subunit ribosomal RNA
Source: RNAcentral
GAUAAGUUUGGUUCUGGCUUAUAUUUCUUGGCUAUUGCUAUAUUAAAAUACAUGGUACCUAAGGGGAUCCGGUGAGGUUUAGCCAUUGAUGCGCCCUAAUGUUUAAUAUAUUUGGGCGUACAGUGUCUUAGUUUGGUAUUAUUUUUGAAGAUGAUGUCUUAUUUUAUUUUAUAGGUUCACUUUCACCAGUAUUGGAGGUUAAACAAUAAAUGUAAGUUUGAUUUAAUGAUUGGCGAAGGGGUUAAUUUGAAUCUUGAGAUCUGGUAAAGUCUCGUGCCAGCAACUGCGGUUAAACGAGCGGAUCGAGUUAAGAGUAGUCAGUAUAAAUGGGGUUAAUGAGGGUUGUGUGAGUGUAGUUAAAUCUUUAUUUGCAGAGGUGAAAUUUGGGCAAAUAGGGGUCUUUCUUGUUCUGCCUAUAUUGUCGUGAAUCCCCGAAACUUGGGUUAAAAGACCAGGGUUAGAAGCCUGUUAUUCUAAGUGUAAAUUUUUAGUGUUAUGCUUACUGGGGCACUACGGGCAUGUGUAAUAAUGUUAUGCGGAGUCUAAAACUCAAGGAACUUGGCGGUGCCUUAUGUCUGUCCAGGGGAACCUGUCUGUAACCGAUGAUCCGCGUAUUACCUGACCUUAUUUUGCUAUAUUAUAUAGUGGUGCGACACUAUAUAUAUAAUUCAGCCUGUAUAUCGUCGUCGUCAGGUCCCCCCUCGAGGGUUUUAGUGACCUAGAUGGCUGAGGCUUUGUUUAGCUUAAAUAGGGCUGUGUUGCCAUAAAGUCAGAUAGAGAUGCAGCCUAUAAUAAGGGGAGGAUGGGUUACAGUGGUAUAAUUUGCCUGUCGGAUUACGUUUUGCAAUAGUCGUAUGAAGUAGGACUUGGUAGUAAUUAUUUGUAUAAAAUUAGAAUGCGAUGGUGAAUUAAGUGAUUGGGGUGUGUACAAAUCGCCCGUCGCUCUCGUUGAAAAGUGAGAUAAGUCGUAACAUAGUGAGGGUACUGGAAAGUGUUCUCGUAAGAUA